Non-coding RNA from Anaeramoeba ignava, 72 nucleotides. The record is from the annotation of a GenBank genome assembly. NCBI's taxonomy places the organism in Eukaryota, Anaeramoebidae.
GGAGGUAUAGUAUAAUGGUCAGUAUGAUUGAUUGUGGUUCAAUAGAUGUGAGUUCGAUUCUCGCUACCUCCA